This 496-nucleotide long non-coding RNA is filed under the name Vitis vinifera (wine grape). Its description in RNAcentral is "long non-coding RNA (VVIN_LNC007853)". The record is from RNAcentral. Lineage: Eukaryota; Viridiplantae; Streptophyta; Magnoliopsida; Vitales; Vitaceae.
CGGGGAAUAUGGAAUUUGAAACUCAAUUAUGUAUCGCUCGAGAGGGUCCCCAAAAGGGUUGAAGCUGUCGCAACAUUUUUCACAUCUGUCCGUAUCGGCCCUCCUCAUGUUUAUAGUGCCUCUUCAAGCUCUUUUAUAGGGGAUUAUACCGAGAAUAAGUCUCUAAAAUAGGCCUUUUUUUUUAGACCGGAUCUCUCAUAGGUAAAUUGAAAAAUGUACAAGAGCUCUGGUAAGACUCGCAUAGGCUAUGGCUCUGAGCUCAUCUGGAUCUGAUAACGCCAAUCUGCUUACUCCGGCUCUACUGGUGCAAUUGGGAAUAUCUCUCUCACCUGGUCAGCAGUACCUCAUUCAUUCCUUUAAUUUAUCCCAUGUCUUGAAGCGGCAACAAAGGAAGAAAAAAGGGGAUAGGCGGACGGAGGUGAAGCGGCUUACCUUCCUUUCCUCUGAUCUACGACCACCCUGCGACUUCAUCUGAAUCUGAAUCUGGAUCUUCCGC